Molecule: ribosomal RNA, 619 nt
Filed under: Lactococcus lactis
Lineage: Bacteria; Bacillati; Bacillota; Bacilli; Lactobacillales; Streptococcaceae
Description: bacterial SSU rRNA
Rfam family: Bacterial small subunit ribosomal RNA
Source: RNAcentral
GGUACUUGUACCGACUGGAUGAGCAGCGAACGGGUGAGUAACGCGUGGGGAAUCUGCCUUUGAGCGGGGGACAACAUUUGGAAACGAAUGCUAAUACCGCAUAAAAACUUUAAACACAAGUUUUAAGUUUGAAAGAUGCAAUUGCAUCACUCAAAGAUGAUCCCGCGUUGUAUUAGCUAGUUGGUGAGGUAAAGGCUCACCAAGGCGAUGAUACAUAGCCGACCUGAGAGGGUGAUCGGCCACAUUGGGACUGAGACACGGCCCAAACUCCUACGGGAGGCAGCAGUAGGGAAUCUUCGGCAAUGGACGAAAGUCUGACCGAGCAACGCCGCGUGAGUGAAGAAGGUUUUCGGAUCGUAAAACUCUGUUGGUAGAGAAGAACGUUGGUGAGAGUGGAAAGCUCAUCAAGUGACGGUAACUACCCAGAAAGGGACGGCUAACUACGUGCCAGCAGCCGCGGUAAUACGUAGGUCCCGAGCGUUGUCCGGAUUUAUUGGGCGUAAAGCGAGCGCAGGUGGUUUAUUAAGUCUGGUGUAAAAGGCAGUGGCUCAACCAUUGUAUGCAUUGGAAACUGGUAGACUUGAGUGCAGGAGAGGAGAGUGGAAUUCCAUGGGUUAGC